Molecule: ribosomal RNA, 496 nt
Filed under: uncultured bacterium
Lineage: Bacteria
Description: partial 16S ribosomal RNA
Rfam family: Bacterial small subunit ribosomal RNA
Source: RNAcentral
GAUGAACGCUGGCGGCGUGCCUAAUACAUGCAAGUCGAGCGAACAGAUAAGGAGCUUGCUCCUUUGACGUUAGCGGCGGACGGGUGAGUAACACGUGGGUAACCUACCUAUAAGACUGGGAUAACUUCGGGAAACCGGAGCUAAUACCGGAUAACAUUUGGAACCGCAUGGUUCUAAAGUGAAAGAUGGUUUUGCUAUCACUUAUAGAUGGACCCGCGCCGUAUUAGCUAGUUGGUAAGGUAACGGCUUACCAAGGCAACGAUACGUAGCCGACCUGAGAGGGUGAUCGGCCACACUGGAACUGAGACACGGUCCAGACUCCUACGGGAGGCAGCAGUAGGGAAUCUUCCGCAGUGGGCGAAAGCCUGACGGAGCAACGCCGCGUGAGUGAUGAAGGGUUUCGGCUCGUAAAACUCUGUUAUUAGGGAAGAACAAACGUGUAAGUAACUGUGCACGUCUUGACGGUACCUAAUCAGAAAGCCACGGCUAACUACGU